Molecule: non-coding RNA, 24 nt
Filed under: Rattus norvegicus (Norway rat)
Lineage: Eukaryota; Metazoa; Chordata; Mammalia; Rodentia; Muridae
Source: RNAcentral
UGGUGUAAGGUCGGCCAGACAAGG